UUGACAGCGUUGGUGACAGAAGUCCUCUACUUGUCCUCAGAAAAGGUACAGCACAGACAAUGGCAGUGCAGAUUUCCUGCACACACACCACUAUCUGCCUAUGUACCUCAGCCCUGUUCUGGAGGAACCACGUCUAGAGGUGAAGAGCAGUUCAGUUUCCCCAUAGCCCACUCAGUCCUUGGUCUCU
Chelonoidis abingdonii (Abingdon island giant tortoise) is the source of this 187-nucleotide unclassified non-coding RNA. The record is from Ensembl. NCBI's taxonomy places the organism in Eukaryota, Metazoa, Chordata, Testudines, Testudinidae.